This 454-nucleotide long non-coding RNA is filed under the name Theobroma cacao (cacao). Its description in RNAcentral is "long non-coding RNA (TCAC_LNC003964)". The record is from RNAcentral. Lineage: Eukaryota; Viridiplantae; Streptophyta; Magnoliopsida; Malvales; Malvaceae.
UAAACUUGGCCCAUGCCAGAAUCAUUCUCGCGGGUACCUUCGUUAAGGUAUCCCAUUGAGACCGCCAAGGCUGUUCAAUGACCCAUACCCAUAAACAUGUUUUCACAUCUAACACACAGCCGUUCCUUGGCGUUAGCUGAGUCUCACUCUCACGUGGUGGCCUGAACGUGAGGUGCACUCAAAUCAUACCUCAGGAGAUACUUCACCCAACAUCUCCCCUCGGAGGUAAGUAUAUAAUUGAGUUACCAUGCCCCUCUCAUAGGUAGUCUACGAAAACCCCUACCACUGCAAUGACCGUUUAAUAUACCACCAGACCUAUAAAAAUUUCAGUAGCAUAAUAUGGCGAAUAAAAUGUAAUCCAGUCUACCGAGACCAAUCCAAAACUAUUCAUAUAUUUCAUGCCAACCCCAAAAAUUUAGCCAUCAUGCUACCAUAGUGUCAUAAGCCACAAUUU